Long non-coding RNA from Bombus terrestris (buff-tailed bumblebee), 4404 nucleotides. RefSeq lists it as uncharacterized. The transcript is spliced from 3 exons. The record is from RefSeq and is a predicted model, not a curated record. Lineage: Eukaryota; Metazoa; Arthropoda; Insecta; Hymenoptera; Apidae.
CUAUCCGUUUUCUGCAGUUUCUUCUUUCGACGAUCUUAUAAACGGAGAUAUAUCGUCUAGAUGACGUUUUAAGAAAAUAAGACGAACUUUCGAUGUCCUUCCAACGCAAGACUGAAUUAUUUUUGGCCGCGACUUAUCAAACGUAUUAAGCUUUCACUAGCGAAAGAAUCAUUCCGUGUACAUAUAAAAUCCUUCUAGGAAAUUCUCACAAACAGACCUAUACCCUCGACGUGCAUUAAAUUCCACCAUCGUCAAAGAUAACUCUCUGAAUCGUCCACUAACUAAACACAUCCAAAGAUGUUGGUUAAGAGGCUUCGAUCUAGCUCACAAAGGAUCUGGAAAUUCAUUUGUAUCGCGGCGUGCGCUGCUGUACACGGUUCGUUUGGUAUUCUCGGCCUAAUGGAUCGCGAGCACUCGCGGCGAACGAAGUUGUCAGCGGCGUUGCAAGCGACGCCGUGGUCUCGUCGCCGCUUCAAAGUGAUCGCAGAACGCGCGGCCUGUUCUCCUAGGAAGGGCCCCGCGUGCCCGCUACACACCGGCGAGCACCGAUAACUCAUCGAGACCUCUGCCCUUACAACGAGCCAUCACCGUGAGAGGCGCGUCCAGGCCCCAACACGGGAUGAUUAAUGAACGACCGCGAAAUGUACUCGGAUUAGCGUCGUCCGGCGUGCCGGAGCUUGUUUCUGCGCGCAACUUGUAACAAAGAUUCUUUUCAUCAGUCAUCCAGAUAUUUCUGGGCCGUUUAAUGGACCGGACACGCUGCAGGAAAUGUACCGGCCGCUUGUAGGGGAUCGUUGCGAACGAUGCUCGCUUCUGGCGGACUAAUAACGAUAGGGGGCAUCUUUGCGUGGCGCUGCUUUCGUGUUCGUCGACCUGCUCACGGGACCACGAGUUAGCAAGUGGAAGUCGAAAAGUUGGACCUUUUGUCGUUGGAAAUAGUUAUCGGAGAAAAGGAUAAGGCAGACGAAAUGCAGCAGAUAUUGCUCAGCUAUAUAUACAAUGUGUCGACGUUGCGUAAUAGAGCGACAUGGAUACAGAUUUAUAUUUGGUAGCUUCUUAGAAGCUAACGCGAGUUUGGUUGACGCCUAAGAGGGCCUGUCGUCGACCUAUAAGGGUGGUAUUUGACCACGAUGCCACGUAAGCCACGACCGCGACGACCCCUGUCCUCGAGGAUUUGCCGCGAAAACCCUUCUCGGUUUCGGAGGUGAUCAGUCACUGGUGCCACCCUCCGAUCCGGCUCCAGAGUAAACAAACUUACCGAGUAGGCUUGACCGUGGGGCGAAGGUGGCGAGGAUCGCAAACGACGUGUCGAAGCUUUGACGAAUACGAUACGGAAACACGUUUUCGUUUCGAGGGUAGUGGUAAACAUUUGGAAGAUAUUCAUGCCGAUAUUACUACUUCUACACAGGGAAGAGAUCGAGUAGAAGAGGAAGAAGCUGGAGAGGAAUUUUAUUUCCAUUUUCUAUCACGAUUGUAGGUAUAAACAUCGCGAAACACACACGUUCCCCAAGAGCUCUCGAUAUACCUAUUUCACUUUGAAUCUCCAGAUCCAAGCACGUCUAUCGUAUUUAUAGUAUUCCACGGCGUGUAGCUUGCGUGUAGCUUCGUCACGGACUAUGACGAACGAUCCGAGUUUAUCACAGUCGUACGGCCAGCGAAUGGGCUAAUUUUUAAUCGAGCAAGACCGCGGCCGAAAGGAAGAGAGAGAAAGUUCUCGAGGAGAGACGUUCUUCUUUGGAAGCUGGGAAGAGGAAAGGAACGCGCGGGGAGCAACCGAUACCGCCACUUAAUGCCGCGGCUCGAAAUUAAUUAAACUUUUGCGUUCGUUCCCGGGACCGACGGCCAAGAGGAUGAGAGGGGGCGAUGGUGGAAAUAAAACGUUGAUGACACGGCAAGCCCGGUUCCGCAAAGCCCGACCCUGCCUCGACACCGUCGCUCCUUAAUGGGAAAAAGCUGGGCGCCAACGAGCGGAGAACAAGGGUGGUAAACACGCGCCAUCGCGGUACGAAGAGGGGUUUGCAUCACCGAGCCUUUUUCCCCAAAUAUCGAAUGUUGGAAAAUUUGCCUGAAAUUGGAACACUCCUUCUUCGCUCGUAUAAUCGUCGCUGGCGUAGAAGCUUCGAUGAGAGCAAGACGACGACUAAAGAAAAUGAUUGCACGAUUAACUCCAUACAGUCGUUUAUCACUUAUCGCAUAUUCCAAUUUUAGCAAGAUUUGACUAAUCGCAUUACAAUGUGAUUACGGUAGAUAUGGCUUUUGACGAUGUUAUAGCGUAGUGGAACAGGUAGAAGUUUGUUAAAAUAGAAAUAUACAAUAUAUAAGUGAAAUUUAUGAAAUGCUAGAUUUAAUUCCAUGCUGACUUGAAGACGUUCCCUUGUAUAACAGGAAAGACUAAUUUGAUUCAACCGAUAGAUAGGCGAAAAAGGUUGUACAAAGAAUAGGGACCGCUACUUUCCGGGAGAAUGGGCUUGCUAACGAGGCCGCUAUCUUCCAAUUGCAAUUGCUGUUGUUCACUGUCAAGUAGAAUCCAUGUAAACGUCAUGUAUGAAGUAACUCGGAAUACUCGCGGGUAUAUCAUUAAACUGAAAAUGAAACUGACGUUUCGUUAACAUCGUUCCCGGCUCGCUCAAGUUCUAGAUGAAUAUUUUCCAAAGCGCAUAUUGCGCGUUUAAACUGCUUCGUAUAAAAAUUAUAAAGAAAGUCAGGAUACGAAAUGAUUGGAUAUAAAAAGUUCACGAGAAAGUGUCUUCAUUUCGAUCUUGUUAAGAGCGUACAAUAAAAAGAUCCGUGUUAAGACCUUACUUUUGCGAGGCGUGGCCCAUUCAAUUAAUGUCCAUGGAACAAGCGUGCUCAUUACCGGCCCUCCGCACCUCUAUAAUUAUCGGUACAUCGCUCAGAGUACAGAAGCGGACCGGUUCGCAAGGCCUUUCCGGUUAUUUAAUCGCGUGCGCGCCAGUCACACGCCGCUUCAAAGCGAUGUAUAUUUAUAGGUUCGUUAGUCGGAGGAAAGGAAAUGAAAGAACCAGCGAAAAGCUGCGAGAUCUCCUAGAACCGACGCUGCUCUUUUUCCCUUUCCGUGAACCGCGUCUCUGAUUCCCUUGCAGAAUGUCGUCGAUCAAACGAAACCGCACGUUUACCGGCCACUUCCGUUCGGAGAAGCCAGACCAAGGUUGUAUUCUGAGCACGUGCUAUGCAUGACAGAUAGCUUUCGGCAACUAUCGCAGGUAAUCGCCAUGGUAUCGAGAAAUUGUUCGUGGUUUUAUUUUGGGCCGACAUUUUGAUAGUGAUUACUCUCAUUAGAUGAAAAUGCUGUGAACGCUAACGAUUUUAGAUACACUGCCGACUGCGCCGCUAAUGAAAUCUGGAUAUAGCCAGAAGCACAAUUUCUUUAGACCAAGAGCACCCAAGUUCCUUUAGCUCCAGAUUCGAUUCGAGUACAAAUCAAGAUCGGAACUCUUAAAUCUCGCAGGAAUGGGAACGAAGCAGCAAGGUUCUUUCUUCGGUUUUGAUUGGACCGCCGCCGUAAAAGCGGUCCAACAGGGGUACGUAAAAUGAUCAACCGGCAGGGGAAAGUUUUCUUUUGGUUGUUGAAAGGAGGCGAUGGUACAGCGUGGCGCCACCUUGGCGGCGGUAGCGGCUAACAACCGUGUAAAAAGCGACGAAAUCGAGAGUGUCGGUGGGCCUGGCAAGGAGACACGAUCGGGAGAGGGAUGUGGAAAGAGGCAACAUCCUAUAAAACAAUUGACGCGCGCGGGGAAUCAAGGAGUUACUCGAUAAACCUGUUUUCUACUCCACCAGCCACCAUCGAAAUCCUUCUUCUACCAAGCUACUCCAAGAACUGAAUGAAAGGACCUCCGUCACGAAACUUCGUUUCCGAGCUCAAUGCUUUCUGUACAAGGACACCGAGGAACUCUAUGUUCUCCGUGGAAAUUAAUAAAAUAAAUCCAACCAAAGGGACUCGGUGGUGGAUCACGGGGAAUGGAAAAUACGAUGCUUAUUGGGCGAAAUAAGGGGGAUAAAGGUAACCGCAAUGGCAGCCGGGAGAUACGUGUCGUUACAAAGGAGUCGUCUCUCGGAGGAGUCGGAUCUCAUAAACUCAGCCAGCUCGUUGCGAUUUCUCCGGUGAUUCAGUCGGCCGGGGGCAAACACAAUCGCGUCGAGCAAUUUUUGCCACGGUUUGACGGCUCCUCUUUUCGCUUCCCUCGUGGCUUCCGCGCUGGCGCGUCCUUAUUCUCUAAAUUGUUCCCAUUCGAGGAUGAGCCGGUGGUUCGUCCCUGAAAGGCUCGUUCGCGCUUAUAAAUCUCAGCCCGGAGCGGUGACGUCGUGGAGGAAGAAGAGACGUACGUAUGGAAGAGAGAGAGAGAGAGAGAGAGAGAGAGAGAGAGAAAGAGAGAGAGAGAGAGA